UACACUAUCAGUUUGGGCUUUAAAACACUAAGUUGACUAGUUCGUGGAAGCGAAGCCUAAAUGGAUCUAAAGUUAAGCACUUAGGAUUCACUUGAGCAGGCUCGAGAUUGCUAGCCAUAAGCUAGGAGGUUCAUUAUGAAUUGGCAACAAUGGGGAUUUGAAAUUGAAAUCAGACCUUGAAUUGCCUAAGACCAACUUCGAGUUUUAUCAGUUUUACCAAAGCAAAUUUCAAGCUUGAUCAUUGUACAUAUUGCAGAAAAAAAAUACAUGUGUUCCUCAAACUAGAAUUUCUAUCCAGUGAUUAUAAAUUAUUUUUUAUGGUUUCAAGUCAGCUCGGUGAUAUUUAAAAUCCUGAUUUGACAUGUGUUGGAGUUUACUUAAAAAUGCAUGGAUAUUCUCAAUGGAAUACUGGACAAGGGUAAAGAAAAGGAGAACCGUCUACUACAAUUUUUGAUGAAGGCAAGAUCAUGGACAAGUUCACAGGGGUAUUUUCGUCACUUGUGGACAAAAGGAGUUGAUUAGCAUUUUAAAUAUAUCCGUCAUCCUUUCAAUUUAAUGUUUUAAAAAAUCACAAAAACAUUGCUUUUCAUUUCUUCAAUUGAAAAUUGGUGUUUGGCUGAUUCUCUUUAGGACUUGGAUGAGUGGAUUUGAGUGCUUUGCAAAGUAGACAGAAAAAGAGAGUAGUUUUGAGUGCUUUGAAAAACAAAGAGAGUUUAAAAUUUCAUUAGAAGAGGUUUUUCUAAUGUUCAAAUGUCCUCAAAUUGAUCACCUCAACAUCAAGAUAUAUGCACAUAAGAAAAAAAUUGGGUUUCAAGUUUUGAAAAUAGUGCAUUGUGUAACGUCAAUUUUCAAGAUUUUUAAGUUUUCAUAGAUCUAUCGAUCGACACUAUUUUUUAAAGCUUUAAACUUUAUAAAUAAA
RNAcentral lists this long non-coding RNA (919 nucleotides) under Amborella trichopoda. RNAcentral describes it as "long non-coding RNA (ATRI_LNC003859)". Lineage: Eukaryota; Viridiplantae; Streptophyta; Magnoliopsida; Amborellales; Amborellaceae. The record is from RNAcentral.